Cyprinus carpio (common carp) is the source of this 3299-nucleotide long non-coding RNA. RefSeq lists it as uncharacterized. The transcript has 2 exons. Lineage: Eukaryota; Metazoa; Chordata; Actinopteri; Cypriniformes; Cyprinidae. The record is from RefSeq and is a predicted model, not a curated record.
AUCAAUUAUCGGAGUUGAAAACAGGAAUAUUAAUAAGGUAAAGAGUAUAGUUUAUGCUCAAAGUCAUUCAGAAAUAUUUACUGUUUUCAAACAGGUUUCCCAAACUCUACGCUUACCUUCCAUUGGUUGUCAAACCCACGGCCCUGCCCCAAAUUCACACCAUUGGAUGAGUCUAUGUUGCUUUGGCAUGGUGGUUGUGAUGCUCAAACAAAGAGAAUGAGAGCCCUUGAUCUUCAGAUGUCACUCUUCAUGUCCUUUGUGACUUUUGCCCCGUGGCUGCGCCUCUCCUGCCGUCGCUAGCUCAGUGUUUACGUGACUGUUAACUUCUUCAACCCUCCGAUGAUGAGGGCUAAUCACAUUUGAAAUGCAGGCUCUGCUCUGUGAGUUAGUGAGUCUGGGGUAAAACAGUUUGACUUCAGAUGUCUGUCAGAGUACUGCUGUGUUUAGACAGAACUCAAACAAGUGUGUCUGCUCCUUGCGUGAUCUCACCCCCUCCACACCAGCCCAGUGCUCCAUCAGCUACUCCAUCUCCGCGAUGCCUCCAAGGUGCUAAUGAGUCUGCUCGCUUGGCCGGGAAUAGUUAACGUACCGAUCAUCCGCCGUCACUCCCUUGAAAAUCAAGUAUGCAAAUUCUGACCUUAUCCAUCCCCUCCUAUCCCCAUCAUCUUGAUUUGUAAGUAAAUCAUGCCUGUCAGUAUAGUAGCAACCCUGAUUAAAGUUCAGGGGUUUAAUAGAUCAUUUUAAAUAACCCCAAAUUACUCGCCUCUCCCUUGCCGAUCCACCUGGACCUCUGCCCUGGGUGCAUGGCUGUUUUCAGGCAGCGCAGCUCAGGCCAAGUCCAAGCUCGUGGUUCCUGCCUAUUCCCAGAGGGUCCCACGCUGCAGGCCUACACCAACAUUCUCAGCUGCAUUUAAUCUGCCUUCAGACAAACUGGCUAUGAGAAAAUGCAAAGGAAAAGGCGCACCAGUGGAGACAUGGAAAAUCCUGGACAGUUGGUGUGCUUUGUUCACUUGGUGAACUGGAGGCCGUCCAGGAACACCCCCCUCCGCCCGCCUUGCUCCCCUGGCGAUAUGAGUCCGUUCCAAUUAAUCGUGUUUAACCAUUCUAAUCACACUUUAGCACAUUAAUCCUAUUUUCAAUCCAAAACACAUCUGAAACGGGCAGCAUGUGGAGGGAUUUUUCCCCCCCCUGCACCUUUAUUGCCACCGCAAAUCAGAUGAAUCCCAGAGACUACGGGGCCCUAGUUCAGCCUGCACUCUGACUGAACUUGGACUUCAUAAAACACAUGGUCCACACUUUUUUAAAGGUGGAAUUUAUUGCGAGAUGGUGAUUCCACGGCUGAAAAAACUGACUUUUCGAAAUUGCCUAUGAUGAAGAGGCAGUUAGGAAAAUGCUAUUAUGAGAAGAGAUCAGGGGCUUUUCCGGCCCCUGUGUUAUUGCUGUGUAUCCCAUAAACACUUACAGUCGCUGUGUCUUAUCAGUCGCGCAUCCAAAGUCACCCGAGAGAGUCAUGGUCUUUAAACCCAAUUAAUCUGUUAACAGACAGCUCCCCAGGCAGCCAGGAGUAUCCAAAUUCUUGUGUUUACUUAAAAAAAAAUACUAAUAAUUUAAAGCAAAGGUCUCUAUUUCUGACAUCGCAAUGUAUCUCUAGAGUCAAUGAAAUAAAAAGGAAACAAAGAGUUUCUCAAGAAGCUUUGCAUUGGCUUCAGCAAAGUGUCACUUUCUCCUCCAGGCUCUUCUAGAGAAAUGCUGCAUCCAGUAUAUGGGGAUGUACUUAAAUUUUACAAGCAGUAAUGUAAUAAAUGGCUCUGCAUUGUUAAUUAAGGCCCGCAGAGCAAACAGAGAAUAAAAUGGUGCCCUAAUUACAGCUCUAAAAAGCACUCAACAGGCAAAUAAUAAAGUGGCACAAGUUUAAACUGUGGCUCAGAGCGAAAGAGAGUGUGCUGGCUUGAUUGAAUUUCAGAGGCAUGUUAAACGGCUGGCUAAUGAUAUUAGGAAUUAGUGAAACAAACAGUAGAUUUACUUAUACAAUAAACCCAUUGCAGAAAUCUUGGAAGCUGCUCAGACUUAAUGACAUCAUUGACCUCAGCCAGUAAAGCAAAGCAAUGAUGUAAUUACAGAGUGAAGCAAAUUUCUUACCACAACAACUUCUUAACAUCAAGACCCAGGUUUAGAUUCUGAACUUUACGAACAGAAAAUUCAGUUCCCUGAGAGGCGGGACUUGUGUGUGGUUAUGGAAUUCUGAUGACCCAUUUUUCCUUGGGUUUUUUACUUACUAUCUUGACGUCCAAAUGGAGACCUGCUUUGCUUGGUUUGACAAGGCAUUUUCCAGUUGGUAAAAGCAGUAACUCACAGAAGGCCUUUUUGAAAUGCAAGGCUUGCAUUGCUAGGCUAGUGUUUGAAAAUAUUCACAUGAUAUCUAAAUAUAAAAUCCUGAGGUGAGCAUGUGUUGGCUUUUUUUGUAAUUCACUGGUCGGGGGGAGGGGGACGAAGGGAAAAAACACAUUCUUUUUCUUUAGUGGUACUUAGGUAAACUAUUAGACAUCGUAGACAAACCAAAAUGUGGACUGUGAAAUAACAUUUAAAGCCAUGAUCUGCAAUUAUUUGCUACUUUGAAUGAACACCGUUGAUCCAAUUUAUGAUGUAACAACAAAGGAAGCAAAAUAUCGGUAUGAACCGCACACUAACUGCAGCACUAACAAUAAUUUAAUGAUAGUCCAAACUGUAUUAAGGUGACAGAUUCAUGGGGUGGAUUGUGCAUGGCCAUCAAUCUCAGUUAUGACAUUCCACUAAAGAAGGUCACUGGAUAUUGUCCUGGAAAUUCAGACAUGAAACAACUUUGGUUGACUAUAUGGUUUUUUUAUGCCUGUAAUACCUUGGUGAAAGCUAUGGUUAUGGUUUAAGCUCAGUCACAAUUAUCUAUUUCCAGUGAAUGAUUUGGCCCGAGAUGAUUUUUUUUGCAACCAUUUCAGUUCUGUACACUAUAUGUACUCUGUUGAAAAUCCCACAAUUAUGAACAUUAUAUUUAAGAUAUUACACGUUGCUUUGGAUAAGAAAAGCCUGUUUUCUGUAAUAGCUCUCUGUCCGGUUUUACCACAUAGCUAUUAUAUUGGGCUAUAGCAUGGUGGAGUGGUAGCACCAGAGUUUGAUGAUAAAAAUGCAGAAUCUAAAACUACAUGCUGGAAAAGCACAUAAACAUACCUUCUAGUUCAAAAUAUCUGCAAACGUCUUACGGUUAUACUGUAGUAAAAAAAAAAAAAAAACCUUGAAGUUGCAAAUAAAACAAAUUUCACGUUUAA